Molecule: ribosomal RNA, 508 nt
Filed under: uncultured bacterium
Lineage: Bacteria
Description: partial 16S ribosomal RNA
Rfam family: Bacterial small subunit ribosomal RNA
Source: RNAcentral
GAUGAACGCUAGCUACAGGCUUAACACAUGCAAGUCGAGGGGAAACGUCAUCGAAGGCUUGCUUUUGAUGGGCGUCGACCGGCGCACGGGUGAGUAACGCGUAUCCAACCUGCCCACCACUUGGGAAUAACCUUGCGAAAGUAAGACUAAUACCCAAUGAUAUCCCACGAAGGCAUCCGAAUGGGAUUAAAGAUUUAUCGGUGAUGGAUGGGGAUGCGUCUGAUUAGCUUGUUGGCGGGGUAACGGCCCACCAAGGCGACGAUCAGUAGGGGUUCUGAGAGGAAGGUCCCCCACAUUGGAACUGAGACACGGUCCAAACUCCUACGGGAGGCAGCAGUGAGGAAGAUUGGUCAAUGGGCGAGAGCCUGAACCAGCCAAGUAGCGUGCAGGAUGACGGCCCUAUGGGUUGUAAACUGCUUUUAUAAGGGAAUAAAGUGAGUCUCGUGAGACUUUUUGCAUGUACCUUAUGAAUAAGGACCGGCUAAUUCCGUGCCAGCAGCCGCCGUAA